GAUGAACGCUGGCGGCGUGCCUAAUACAUGCAAGUCGAGCGAACGGACGAGUAGCUUGCUUCUCUGAUGUUAGCGGCGGACGGGUGAGUAACACGUGGAUAACCUACCUAUAAGACUGGGAUAACUUCGGGAAACCGUAGCUAAUACCGGAUAAUAUUUUGAACCGCAUGGUUCAAAAGUGAAAGACGGUCUUGCUGUCACUUAUAGAUGGAUCCGCGCUGCAUUAGCUAGUUGGUAAGGUAACGGCUUACCAAGGCAACGAUGCAUAGCCGACCUGAGAGGGUGAUCGGCCACACUGGAACUGAGACACGGUCCAGACUCCUACGGGAGGCAGCAGUAGGGAAUCUUCCGCAAUGGGCGAAAGCCUGACGGAGCAACGCCGCGUGAGUGAUGAAGGUCUUCGGAUCGUAAAACUCUGUUAUUAGGGAAGAACAUAUGUGUAAGUAACUGUGCACAGCUUGACGGUACCUAAUCAGAAAGCCACGGCUAACUACGUG
Molecule: ribosomal RNA, 497 nt
Filed under: uncultured bacterium
Lineage: Bacteria
Description: partial 16S ribosomal RNA
Rfam family: Bacterial small subunit ribosomal RNA
Source: RNAcentral